RNAcentral lists this ribosomal RNA (1403 nucleotides) under uncultured Actinomycetes bacterium. Its description in RNAcentral is "uncultured actinobacterium partial 16S ribosomal RNA". It matches the Rfam family "Bacterial small subunit ribosomal RNA". The record is from RNAcentral. Lineage: Bacteria; Bacillati; Actinomycetota; Actinomycetes.
GAGUUUGAUCCUGGCUCAGAAUCAACGCUGGCGGCGUGCCUAACACAUGCAAGUCGUGCGAGAAAGUCCUUCGGGGACGAGUAAAGCGGCGCACGGGUGAGUAACACGUAGGUAACCUGCCCUCGAGCUCGGAAUAACCUACCGAAAGGUGGGCUAAUACCGGAUAUGACCACGGGAGUUUCGGCUUCUGCGGUGAAAGGUGGCCUCUACUUGUAAGCUACCACUCAAGGAUGGGCCUGCGUACCAUUAGCUAGUUGGUGGGGUAAUGGCCCACCAAGGCUGUGAUGGUUAGCUGGUCUGAGAGGAUGGCCAGCCACACUGGGACUGAAACACGGCCCAGACUCCUACGGGAGGCAGCAGUGGGGGAUAUUGCGCAAUGGGCGAAAGCCUGACGCAGCGACGCCGCGUGGGUGAUGAAGGCCUUCGGGUCGUAAAGCCCUGUCGAGGGGGAAGAAUCGGUUGCGACCUAACACGUCGUAGCCCUGACGGUACCCCUAAAGGAAGCACCGGCUAACUCCGUGCCAGCAGCCGCGGUAAUACAGAGGGUGCGAGCGUUGUCCGGAAUCACUGGGCGUAAAGGGCGCGUAGGCGGCCUGAUAAGUAGGGGGUGAAAUCCUGUGGCUUAACUGCAGGGCUGCCUCCUAGACUGUCGGGCUCGAGCACGGUAGAGGCAGAUGGAAUUCCCGGUGUAGCGGUGGAAUGCGUAGAGAUCGGGAAGAACAUCGGUGGCGAAGGCGGUCUGCUGGGCCGUUGCUGACGCUGAGGCGCGACAGCGUGGGGAGCAAACAGGAUUAGAUACCCUGGUAGUCCACGCCGUAAACGAUGGACACUAGGCGUCGGGGGGAGCGACCCUCUCGGUGCCGUCGCUAACGCAGUAAGUGUCCCGCCUGGGGAGUACGGCCGCAAGGCUGAAACUCAAAGGAAUUGACGGGGGCCCGCACAAGCGGCGGAGCACGCGGAUUAAUUCGAUGCAACGCGAAGAACCUUACCAAGGCUUGACAUGUGCCGGAAAAGUGCAGAGAUGUGCUCCCCGCAAGGUCGGUACACAGGUGGUGCAUGGUUGUCGUCAGCUCGUGUCGUGAGAUGUUGGGUUAAGUCCCGCAACGAGCGCAACCCUCGUUCUAUGUUGCCAGCACGUGAUGGUGGGGACUCAUAGGAGACUGCCGGGGUCAACUCGGAGGAAGGUGGGGAUGACGUCAAAUCAUCAUGCCCCUUAUGUCUUGGGCUUCACGCAUGCUACAAUGGCCAGUACAAAGGGCUGCGAUACCGCAAGGUGGAGCGAAUCCCAAAAAACUGGUCUCAGUUCGGAUUGGGGUCUGCAACUCGACCCCAUGAAGUCGGAGUCGCUAGUAAUCGCAGAUCAGCAACGCUGCGGUGAAUACGUUCCCGGGCCUUGUACACAC